Molecule: transfer RNA, 73 nt
Filed under: Camelus bactrianus (Bactrian camel)
Lineage: Eukaryota; Metazoa; Chordata; Mammalia; Artiodactyla; Camelidae
Also listed under: 2 other names
Rfam family: tRNA
About the family: Transfer RNA (tRNA) molecules are approximately 80 nucleotides in length. Their secondary structure includes four short double-helical elements and three loops (D, anti-codon, and T loops).
Source: Rfam by way of RNAcentral
GACGGUAUAGCUUAAGUGACAAAGCGCAUGCUUAGCAUGCACAAGGUCCUGGGUUCAAUCCCCAGUACCUUCU